This is a long non-coding RNA of Spinacia oleracea (spinach), 1107 nucleotides long. RefSeq lists it as uncharacterized. NCBI's taxonomy places the organism in Eukaryota, Viridiplantae, Streptophyta, Magnoliopsida, Caryophyllales, Amaranthaceae. The transcript is spliced from 3 exons. The record is from RefSeq and is a predicted model, not a curated record.
UUUAGUAGUUUCCAAAAAUGGCAACCCAAUUUCUGAAUUUAUUCCAACUGUGUAAAAUUACAAAAAUGCCCUUAGAAAAUCAAAAAUUCCAUUUUUCCUCUUCUCUUUGCUUUCCACGUACAUUGCAAGAAUGAAGAAAAUUCUUCAUUCCUCUCCUUCCCUCAAUUCAGUCUUGAUUCAUGCCUUGCUCCUCAAGGAUUUCAGCUUCUCUUUCACUCUUCUUGACUAUACAAAUCAGUCUUAAUUCCAAUUGGAAUUCAACAUCAGAAAAUCAAAACCAAGAACCAGUAAACAAAAUUGGAAAUCACCACCCAUAACCAACACCAUUGUCGCCUUAUUUCUCUUCUUUGUUGCACCCCCUCGCUGCACCACCUUCAGACCACCACCACUGCAUCCACCCAGAACCACCGCACCCCACCGUAUCUCCCCUCCCUGCUCUUCCCCCCUCACGCACACCUCUGCCUCCCUCUUUCUUCGCCUCUGCCGCACCACCCAGCCAUGAAACCACCACACCCCGGCCACCGCACCACCUUCUAUACUCACCUUCGCCUCACAAAACUCGGCGAGCUGCUGCUGCGCCGCCCAGGCUUGACCAGAAACGCCCCUCCCCUGUUUUUCCCCUGUUUUGUCGACCACCCCUUCCUUUCCUUGCUGUUCCGCCACCACUCAAACACCACCACAGUCGCAUCUACGGCUCGUUUCCGUGCAGCGGCGCCGUCCAAACCUUCAGCCACCACCACCCCCCCCUCUGUCCUCUUCGUUCUCCCCUGUCCCUCGUUGAUCCCCUGCGCGCUGCGCUUUCAAUUCCAGGAACCAAGUUUCAAUUGAAACUUUGGUUUCCAAAUUCAUUUAAGCUGGCCCAAUUUUUAUUUGGGCUUCGGGAAUUUGGACUCGGAGCUCAGGAAGAACGGCCCAUCGAACAAGAAGUAUAAACUACGGUUGAGGUACGAAGAAGAUCAUGGGAUGCCUUAGAGUGAGGAUGCAACCAUCAAAUUCACGAUCGAUGUUUAGUAGAGACAAUUAUGUCAUUAGUAAUAAAGGGAUGUAUUAAUUAAACUCUAAGUUUGAUCUCAUGAUUUGAGUUAGAUUUUAAUACUAAUAUUAACC